Molecule: long non-coding RNA, 1797 nt
Filed under: Homo sapiens (human)
Lineage: Eukaryota; Metazoa; Chordata; Mammalia; Primates; Hominidae
Description: long independently transcribed non-coding RNA 311 (LINC00311)
Source: RNAcentral
GUUGGACAUCAGCUGGGGCUGGAGUCACCUGCAGGCUGGCCUGGGGUCGGGCAGGGGGAUCUGCUUCCAAGGCUCUGCUUCAGAGGCGGCUCCCUCCCACGGUAGGCGCAUGGUUUCCUGUCUCCAAAGUGGGCCUCUGCACAAGGCUGCUUGGAUGACCUCAUGAUAUGGUGGCUGCUGACCAGGGUAGAGGCUGGAACCCCUUGGAUGGCCCAACCUGGGAGGUACUAGCCAUGCCUCUGCCAUUGGGCCCGGCCACACAGGUUCCUGCCCUCUUCUCCGCUGCCCUUGUGCCUCCCGUGUCCUCGCUGCGUCCUAACCAAAUGCUGGACUGGCAGAGACUGAAAACGCCCCACGGGGCCCCUGUGGCUUGCUCACUCGGGCUCUCCGGAGAGUGGGUGCCAACCCCCUGCGCCCUGAGCAUCUUGGCUCUGCUUGGCUUGCAGCUGGAUCCCCUUUUUGGACUUUGGGGCUGCACACGCACCUUGUUCUGGAGCGAAUGGGCUCGUGAGAGCCGCAGGCCCUGAGGCAUGGCCUAACUCAGGCAGAGUAGUUGGCGAAGGCCCCAGAGGGACCCAGGCUAUCGUCCUGCAGCUGCCGGCAAAACCAUCAACGGAUGCUGACAUCAGCGAGCAAAAGUGUGAUGAAGAACGGCGAUUUGCAUCGUUUCAAAGUAUCUCUCCAUGAGAUACUUACUAAUUUCAAAGGGGACAAUGGCCAGGUGAAGCCUGGCAGAUGUCACUUACACUGAGUGAUCCAUGUUGCCAUCUCCAGGGUGACACGGUGUGCCUGUGACAUGAAGCGCCAAGGGGAACCCAAUGUCAUUUCUGGGGUUCUUCCUGCCCCAAACAGUCCAUUUGGUUAAACUCACGAGAGUGUGUGCUUGUCGAUGUAGCUGAUUCUGUAUGGGUGGGGAUUUGGACCAGCCCUUCACUACUCAAAGUGGGGUCUGUACACCAGCAGCAGGGUUACCUCCUUAACCCCGAGCUUGUAAGAAAGCACAGCCAAGCAUGGUGGCUCAUGUUUGUAAUCCUAGCACUUUGGGAGGCUGAGGUGGGUGGAUCAUCUGAGGUCAGGAGUUUGAGACCAGCCUGGCCAACAUGAUGAAACCCCGUUUCUACUAAAAAUACAAAAAUUAGCCAGGCGUGGUGAUGGGUGCCUGUAAUCCCAGCUACGUGGGAGGCUGAGGCAGGAGAAUCACUUGAACCCAGAAGGUGCAGGUUGCAGUGAGCUGAGAUCGUGCCACUGCACUCCAGCCUGGGCGACAAGAGCGAAACUCUGUCUCAAAAAAAAAAAAAAAAAAGAAAGAAAGAAAGAAAGAAAUUAAGAGUCUCGGGCCCUGCCCCAGACCUAGAAUCAGGACCUGCAUGUUAACAAACCCCACAUCUGUGAUCCCUGUCCACAGUAAAGGCUGAGAAUGCUUAAUCCAAAACACCUUCCGCCUCCCAGAGCUUGUGGCUUUGAUGCCAUUUGUCUGAACAUCACAAGGAACCACGUGGGAAAACAGGACUUCGUGGCGUGCCCUGGCAGACAAGCCAAAGCAACUGUGGGCAUCAGGCUGUGGGGCGGCAUCCCUAGGACUCAGAAUAAUGCCUGCGCACAGUAGGCACGGAAGUAUUUGUGGAAGGAAGAAAUGGAGAUCAUCAUGAAAUAAGCGCUAUUGGCCGGGCACGGUGGCUCACGCCUGUAAUCCCAGCACUUCGGGAGGCCGAGGUAGGCGGAUCACCUGAGGUUAGGAGUUCGAGACCAGCCUGGCCAACAUGAUGAAACCUUAUCUCUACUAAAAAAAAAAAAAAA